UGGGGAAUUUUGGACAAUGGGCGAAAGCCUGAUCCAGCGAUGCCGCGUGUGUGAAGAAGGCCUUCGGGUUGUAAAGCACUUUUGUCCGGAAAGAAAUCCUCUGGGUUAAUACCUCGGGGGGAUGACGGUACCGGAAGAAUAAGCACCGGCUAACUACGUGCCAGCAGCCGCGGUAAUACGUAGGGUGCAAGCGUUAAUCGGAAUUACUGGGCGUAAAGCGUGCGCAGGCGGUUUUGUAAGACGGAUGUGAAAUCCCCGGGCUUAACCUGGGAACUGCAUUCGUGACUGCAAGGCUAGAGUAUGGCAGAGGGGGGUAGAAUUCCACGUGUAGCAGUGAAAUGCGUAGAGAUGUGGAGGAAUACCGAUGGCGAAGGCAGCCCCCUGGGCCAAUACUGACGCUCAUGCACGAAAGCGUGGGGAGCAAACAGGAUUAGAUACCCUGGUAGUCCACGCCCUAAACGAUGUCAACUAGUUGUUGGGGAUUCAUUUCCUUAGUAACGUAGCUAACGCGUGAAGUUGACCGCCUGGGGAGUACGGUCGCAAGAUUAAAACUCAAAUGAAUUGACGGGGUCAUAGCUGUUUCCU
RNAcentral lists this ribosomal RNA (585 nucleotides) under uncultured bacterium. Its description in RNAcentral is "partial 16S ribosomal RNA". It matches the Rfam family "Bacterial small subunit ribosomal RNA", at positions 355 to 1375 of the family's 1533-position model. The record is from RNAcentral.